CGGAGGGAUCAUUACAGAGUUUUCUAACUCCCAAACCCAUGUGAACUUACCACUGUUGCCUCGGCGGAGCCUACCCUGUAGCUACCCUGUAGCGUGAUUACCCUGUAGGGUGGUUACCCUGUAGCGUGGUUACCCUGUAGCGCCCCGCCGGCGGAUUUUCAAACUCUUGUUAUUUUUUAAGUCAUCUGAGAGUCUUAUUUUAAAUAAGUCAAAACUUUCAACAACGGAUCUCUUGGUUCUGGCAUCGAUGAAGAACGCAGCGAAAUGCGAUAAGUAAUGUGAAUUGCAGAAUUCAGUGAAUCAUCGAAUCUUUGAACGCACAUUGCGCCCAUUAGUAUUCUAGUGGGCAUGCCUGUUCGAGCGUCAUUUCAACCCUUAAGCCUAGCUUAGUGUUGGGAAUCUAUGUGUGGCCCAAGCUACCCUGUAGCGUGGUUACCCUGUAGUUCCUGAAAAACAACGGCGGAUUUAUAGUGUCCUCUGAGCGUAGUAAUUUUUUAUCUCGCUUCUGUUUAGGCGCUGCAGACCCGGCCGCUAAACCCCCAAUUUUUCGUGGUUGACCUCGGAUCAGGUAGGAAUACCCGCUGAACUUAAGCAUAUCAAUAAGCGGAGGAAAAGAAACCAACAGGGAUUCCC
RNAcentral lists this ribosomal RNA (633 nucleotides) under fungal endophyte. RNAcentral describes it as "eukaryotic LSU rRNA". The stretch from base 213 to 366 matches the Rfam family "5.8S ribosomal RNA". Lineage: Eukaryota; Fungi. The record is from RNAcentral.